This 337-nucleotide ribosomal RNA is filed under the name uncultured Anoxybacillus sp. Its description in RNAcentral is "bacterial SSU rRNA". It matches the Rfam family "Bacterial small subunit ribosomal RNA", at positions 1043 to 1382 of the family's 1533-position model. Lineage: Bacteria; Bacillati; Bacillota; Bacilli; Caryophanales; Anoxybacillaceae. The record is from RNAcentral.
GCAUGGUUGUCGUCAGCUCGUGUCGUGAGAUGUUGGUUAAGUCCCGCAACGAGCGCAACCCUCGACCUUAGUUGCCAGCAUUCAGUUGGGCACUCUAAGGUGACUGCCGGCUAAAAGUCGGAGGAAGGUGGGGAUGACGUCAAAUCAUCAUGCCCCUUAUGACCUGGGCUACACACGUGCUACAAUGGGCGGUACAAAGGGUCGCGAACCCGCGAGGGGGAGCCAAUCCCAAAAAGCCGCUCUCAGUUCGGAUUGCAGGCUGCAACUCGCCUGCAUGAAGCCGGAAUCGCUAGUAAUCGCGGAUCAGCAUGCCGCGGUGAAUACGUUCCCGGGCCUU